AUCUGGAGACCACAAAGAGCAGCAUUCGGGAGACACUGAGACGGUGAACACAGAGCACAGCCUCACCUCCAGCUCACCCUCAGUUCCUGGACUUUUCCACAGGAUGAAGCCCAAGAUCCUGAAUAUGACCUCCCAGGCCCCAACAGAUGCUGAAGGUGGCCUCCCAGGCCCCAGCAGAUCCUGAAGAUGGCCUCCCAGGCCCCAGCAGAUGCUGAAGAUGGCCUCCCAGGCCCCAACAGAUGCUGAAGAUGGCCUCCCAGGCCCCAGCAGAUGCUGAAGAUGGCCUCCCAGGCCCCAGCAGAUGCUGAAGAUGGCCUCCCAGGCCCCAGCACCCUUUCCUGCCUCCCCACUUUGCAUCCCUCCCUCUGGUGACACUGGGCCAUUCACAGCACAUACCAUACUCGUCCUCCUUCUGGGCCUUGGAGCUGCCUGGAAUGCCCUUUGCCUCCUGCCCUCACCAGCGGAGUCCUCCCAUUCUCACUGCUCCACUCAAGCUGGGAAGCCCCCCAAACACUCAGGCUGGACUGAGGUGCUCUGCAUUCCCACAGCACUCUGUGCAUGCUGCCCUUGUACUCCACAAGGUACUGGAAUGAUCUGCUUGAGGGUCUCUUUCUUCCCAUUCCUUAAGGCAGCCACUACGCUUUUUCUUGCCGCACAGUGCCCUGAAUGUGGCCACAAGGCACGCACUAACUGCUUAUUAAGCUUAAAUCACCUGCAUAUCUGCUUCUAACAAUGUUUUCAAUAGCUGAUAGUUAGUUUAUAGGAAGAGAGAGAAUAAUGGAUUCCAACCAGG
Molecule: long non-coding RNA, 793 nt
Filed under: Homo sapiens (human)
Lineage: Eukaryota; Metazoa; Chordata; Mammalia; Primates; Hominidae
Description: HSALNT0147030
Source: RNAcentral